Molecule: long non-coding RNA, 1463 nt
Organism: Labeo rohita (rohu)
Lineage: Eukaryota; Metazoa; Chordata; Actinopteri; Cypriniformes; Cyprinidae
Exons: 3
Source: RefSeq, a predicted model, not a curated record
UUAUACUUGCCAGCAAUGUCCAGGAGUUCGCCUCAAAUACAUUAAAUAUUACACUCUAAAAAGUGCUGGGUUAUUUCUGUAAACACAUUGCUGGGUUAAUUGUGCUGGGUCAAAAUUCUGGGUUGUUUGAGGUACUGUAAACACACAGUUGGGUUGAUCAUGCUGGGUCAAAUGGACUUUCACCGCUGAACACGCAGAUUGUGUUAUUUUAACCGGUUUGUUUAUUUUUCCACUUCAUCGAACUUUCUGGAUUCUUCACUCGUCUCCUCAUCAGGCGGUCACGAAAUUCGCAGCAAGCAGCAUUAUUUGCUUGAAAACCAGAUCCCUCCGUCCACCAUAGUUUCCUCAAGAUUUGUGUUGCCAGCUGAGCGCUGGUGCUGACGCGGCUAGUGGCUAAUUUAUAAACCAGGCUCUACAUCCAAAGCGAUCGCACUGAAUGCGCCUCUCUUUAUGUGAUCAGUGAAUUCUGCAACGCGCGCUUUGAGCAGACGCUUUUUGAGCAGCGCAGACCAUGCACCCCCGGUUAAAAAAAAUCCCAUCUGCGCCCCUGCUUACAGGUACAUAUUAGUACUUUAAAAGAACAUAUUUGUAUCUUUUCACUUUGUACCUUAGGGUAUCUUUUUUGACAGUGUGUUCGUAAAAUCAUAUCAUACACUGUGUAUUUCAGUGUAUUUCAGUUUUUGUGCUGUAUUAUUUUUAGUAGUGUUAGGAGGAGAAUUAGACUUUACAGUUGUAAAAGUAGCAUAAAGAAGCAGAAACUGAAGAACAAGUAUUAAUACUACACGCUAAUAUAAAUAUUUAGAACUGAAAAUAAGAAAUAAAUCCAAAUCUCCGCAUGUGUGACAUCCGCAAUAAACAGCAUCGUAGACAACAGUCCAGGAACAGGGAAAAUAAUACAGUGUUUAAAUGUAUUAGGUAGAAUAUCCACACUCCAGUACAGCAGGUGACAGAAACUGUUCAACUCCUUCAAAACCCCUAGACAAAAACAAAAGUAACUGCGGAAAACACACAGAUAGCAAGAGAAAGCAUUUGUGAUUGGAUUUAUGUCCUAGAAAACAUUUUUGUAGAUACAACUUUAGCCCAGACCCUACUCAUUUUAACACUCGGGGACAUAUGUUUAUAUGUAAAUAUGUUUUUGCAUAUUUAAUCCGAUCCGUCUGUACUAUUGAGAGAUUUGAGAAGAAAUUGCUGACAAACUACAGGACUAAAGGACAGAAAAAUGAGCGUUUCUAAUAAAUUCUCUUCUUAGUGGACAAGACUGUAGGUCAAACUGAACAGCAGAUUGUUUUCUCAACCCAAUUCAUUCUUCAGCUCAAUCUCAUAUUCACAAUAAAACAUUUCGGUCAUGACAACUGUCAGAGGGAUUGGAAUGGUAAUGUGCAUGAUAAUGUAAAUGUAUUUGGUAUUGGCAGAAUAGAUCUGCUACGCUGAUGCUGCUGCUGUUUACCGAGACUUGCUACUGC